GUAGGGAAUAUUGCACAAUGGAGGAAACUCUGAUGCAGCGACGCCGCGUGAGUGAUGAAGGUUUUCGGACUGUAAAGCUCUGUUGUUUAGGACGAAAGUGCCUGUUGCAAAUAGUUACAGGUAUUGACGGUACUGAACGAGGAAGCCACGGCUAACUACGUGCCAGCAGCCGCGGUAAUACGUAGGUGGCAAGCGUUGUCCGGAAUUAUUGGGCGUAAAGAGCAUGUAGGCGGGAAUCUAAGUCUGUUGUGAAAAUGCGGGGCUCAACCCCGUAUUGCGAUGGAAACUGGGUUUCUUGAGUGCAGGAGAGGAAAGGGGAAUUCCCAGUGUAGCGGUGAAAUGCGUAGAUAUUGGGAGGAACACCAGUGGCGAAGGCGCCUUUCUGGACUGUGUCUGACGCUGAGAUGCGAAAGCCAGGGUAGCGAACGGGAUUAGAAACCCGUGUAGUCC
Molecule: ribosomal RNA, 450 nt
Filed under: uncultured bacterium
Lineage: Bacteria
Description: partial 16S ribosomal RNA
Rfam family: Bacterial small subunit ribosomal RNA
Source: RNAcentral